UAGGGAAUCUUCGGCAAUGGACGGAAGUCUGACCGAGCAACGCCGCGUGAGUGAAGAAGGUUUUCGGAUCGUAAAGCUCUGUUGUUAGAGAAGAACGUUGGUAGGAGUGGAAAAUCUACCAAGUGACGGUAACUAACCAGAAAGGGACGGCUAACUACGUGCCAGCAGCCGCGGUAAUACGUAGGUCCCGAGCGUUGUCCGGAUUUAUUGGGCGUAAAGAGAGCGCAGGCGGUUCUUUAAGUCUGAAGUUAAAGGCAGUGGCUUAACCAUUGUACGCUUUGGAAACUGGAGGACUGGAGUGCAGAAGGGGAGAGUGGAAUUCCAUGUGUAGCGGUGAAAUGCGUAGAUAUAUGGAGGAACACCGGUGGCGAAAGCGGCUCUCUGGUCUGUAACUGACGCUGAGGCUCGAAAGCGUGGGGAGCAAACAGG
RNAcentral lists this ribosomal RNA (429 nucleotides) under Bacillota bacterium. RNAcentral's name for it is "Firmicutes bacterium partial 16S ribosomal RNA". It matches the Rfam family "Bacterial small subunit ribosomal RNA", at positions 355 to 776 of the family's 1533-position model. Lineage: Bacteria; Bacillati; Bacillota. The record is from RNAcentral.